RNAcentral lists this ribosomal RNA (253 nucleotides) under uncultured bacterium. Its description in RNAcentral is "partial 16S ribosomal RNA". It matches the Rfam family "Bacterial small subunit ribosomal RNA", at positions 524 to 776 of the family's 1533-position model. The record is from RNAcentral.
CACGGGGGGAGCAAGCGUUGUUCGGAAUCACUGGGCGUAAAGGGCGCGUAGGCGGGAUGGCAAGUCGGUCGUGAAAUCCUUCGGCUCAACCGAAGAACGUCGAUCGAUACUGCUGUUCUUGAGGGUUGCAGAGGAGACUGGAAUUCCCGGUGUAGCGGUGAAAUGUGUAGAGAUCGGGAGGAACACCGGUGGCGAAGGCGGGUCUCUGGAACGCAACUGACGCUGAGACGCGAAAGCGUGGGGAGCAAACAGG